UACGUAGGGGGCAAGCGUUAUCCGGAUUUACUGGGUGUAAAGGGUGCGUAGCCGGAAAUGCAAGUCAGAUGUGAAAGCCCGAAGCUCAACUUCGGGACUGCAUUUGAAUCUGCAUUACUAGAGUGCAGGAGAGGAAAGUGGAAUUCCUAGUGUAGCGGUGAAAUGCGUAGAUAUUAGGAGGAACACCAGUGGCGAAGGCGACUUUCUGGACUGUAACUGACGGUGAGGCACGAAAGCGUGGGGAGCAAACAGG
Molecule: ribosomal RNA, 253 nt
Filed under: uncultured bacterium
Lineage: Bacteria
Description: partial 16S ribosomal RNA
Rfam family: Bacterial small subunit ribosomal RNA
Source: RNAcentral